This 230-nucleotide unclassified non-coding RNA is filed under the name uncultured fungus. Its description in RNAcentral is "sequence contains ITS1, 5.8S rRNA gene". The stretch from base 182 to 230 matches the Rfam family "5.8S ribosomal RNA", at positions 1 to 49 of the family's 154-position model. The record is from RNAcentral. Lineage: Eukaryota; Fungi.
UCUUCGUAGGUGAACCUGCGGAGGGAUUAUUACUGAGUGAGGGCCUCCCCGGCCCGACCUCCAACCCUUUGUGAACACAACUUGUUGCUUCGGGGGCGACCCUGCCGUUCGCGGCGUGGGGCCCCCGGAGCCCAUCAAACCCUGCGUAACUAAGUCGUCGGAGUUUAAGUAAAUUAAACAAAACUUUCAACAACGGAUCUCUUGGUUCUGGCAUCGAUGAAGAACGCAGC